ACAACAUUCGGACCGUCGGUCUACCGAGCAAUAUCACCCGCUCGACAAAAGAUCUUCCCACUGUCGU
RNAcentral lists this microRNA precursor (67 nucleotides) under Bombyx mori (domestic silkworm). RNAcentral describes it as "mir-2774 microRNA precursor family". It matches the Rfam family "mir-2774 microRNA precursor family". The record is from Rfam by way of RNAcentral. Lineage: Eukaryota; Metazoa; Arthropoda; Insecta; Lepidoptera; Bombycidae.